Molecule: ribosomal RNA, 1371 nt
Filed under: uncultured bacterium
Lineage: Bacteria
Description: bacterial SSU rRNA
Rfam family: Bacterial small subunit ribosomal RNA
Source: RNAcentral
GAUGAACGCUGGCGGCGUGCCUAAUACAUGCAAGUCGAGCGAACGGACGAGAAGCUUGCUUCUCUGAUGUUAGCGGCGGACGGGUGAGUAACACGUGGAUAACCUACCUAUAAGACUGGGAUAACUUCGGGAAACCGGAGCUAAUACCGGAUAAUAUUUUGAACCGCAUGGUUCAAAAGUAAAAGACGGUCUUGCUGUCACUUAUAGAUGGAUCCGCGCUGCAUUAGCUAGUUGGUAAGGUAACGGCUUACCAAGGCAACGAUGCAUAGCCGACCUGAGAGGGUGAUCGGCCACACUGGAACUGAGACACGGUCCAGACUCCUACGGGAGGCAGCAGUAGGGAAUCUUCCGCAAUGGGCGAAAGCCUGACGGAGCAACGCCGCGUGAGUGAUGAAGGUCUUCGGAUCGUAAAACUCUGUUAUUAGGGAAGAAUAUAUGUGUAAGUAACUGUGCACAUCUUGACGGUACCUAAUCAGAAAGCCACGGCUAACUACGUGCCAGCAGCCGCGGUAAUACGUAGGUGGCAAGCGUUAUCCGGAAUUAUUGGGCGUAAAGCGCGCGUAGGCGGUUUUUUAGUCUGAUGUGAAAGCCCACGGCUCAUCCGUGGAGGGUCAUUGGAAACUGGAAAACUUGAGUGCAGAAGAGGAAAGUGGAAUUCCAUGUGUAGCGGUGAAAUGCGCAGAGAUAUGGAGGAACACCAGUGGCGAAGGCGACUUUCUGGUCUGUAACUGACGCUGAUGUGCGAAAGCGUGGGGAUCAAACAGGAUUAGAUACCCUGGUAGUCCACGCCGUAAACGAUGAGUGCUAAGUGUUAGGGGGUUUCCGCCCCUUAGUGCUGCAGCUAACGCAUUAAGCACUCCGCCUGGGGAGUACGACCGCAAGGUUGAAACUCAAAGGAAUUGACGGGGACCCGCACAAGCGGUGGAGCAUGUGGUUUAAUUCGAAGCAACGCGAAGAACCUUACCAAAUCUUGACAUCCUUUGACAACUCUAGAGAUAGAGCCUUCCCCUUCGGGGGACAAAGUGACAGGUGGUGCAUGGUUGUCGUCAGCUCGUGUCGUGAGAUGUUGGGUUAAGUCCCGCAACGAGCGCAACCCUUAAGCUUAGUUGCCAUCAUUAAGUUGGGCACUCUAAGUUGACUGCCGGUGACAAACCGGAGGAAGGUGGGGAUGACGUCAAAUCAUCAUGCCCCUUAUGAUUUGGGCUACACACGUGCUACAAUGGACAAUACAAAGGGCAGCGAAACCGCGAGGUCAAGCAAAUCCCAUAAAGUUGUUCUCAGUUCGGAUUGUAGUCUGCAACUCGACUACAUGAAGCUGGAAUCGCUAGUAAUCGUAGAUCAGCAUGCUACGGUGAAUACGUUCCCGGGUCU